UACGUAGGGUGCGAGCGUUAAUCGGAAUUACUGGGCGUAAAGCGUGCGCAGGCGGCUUCGCAAGUCAGACGUGAAAUCCCCGGGCUUAACCUGGGAAUGGCGUUUGAAACUACGGAGCUGGAGUAUGGCAGAGGGGGGUGGAAUUCCACGUGUAGCGGUGAAAUGCGUGGAUAUGUGGAGGAACACCGAUGGCGAAGGCAGCCCCCUGGGCCAAUACUGACGCUCAUGCACGAAAGCGUGGGGAGCAAACAGG
RNAcentral lists this ribosomal RNA (253 nucleotides) under uncultured bacterium. RNAcentral's name for it is "partial 16S ribosomal RNA". It matches the Rfam family "Bacterial small subunit ribosomal RNA", at positions 524 to 776 of the family's 1533-position model. The record is from RNAcentral.